UACAGAGGUCUCAAGCGUUGUUCGGAUUCAUUGGGCGUAAAGGGUGCGUAGGUGGCGCUGUAAGUCGGGUGUGAAAUUUCGGAGCUUAACUCCGAAACUGCAUUCGAUACUGCGGUGCUUGAGGACUGGAGAGGAGACUGGAAUACUUGGUGUAGCAGUGAAAUGCGUAGAUAUCAAGUGGAACACCAGUGGCGAAGGCGAGUCUCUGGACAUUUCCUGACGCUGAGGCACGAAAGCCAGGGGAGCAAACGGG
RNAcentral lists this ribosomal RNA (253 nucleotides) under uncultured bacterium. Its description in RNAcentral is "partial 16S ribosomal RNA". It matches the Rfam family "Bacterial small subunit ribosomal RNA", at positions 524 to 776 of the family's 1533-position model. The record is from RNAcentral.